GACGAACGCUGGCGGCGUGCUUAACACAUGCAAGUCACGGGGGCCCGCAAGGGUAACCGGCGAACGGGUGCGUAACACGUGAACAAUCUGCCUAGAUGUGGGGGAUAGCCGGCCCAACGGCCGGGUAAUACCGCAUACGCUCUUCGGGUGGCAUCACUUGAAGAGGAAACCUCCGGGGCAUCUAGGGGAGUUCGCGGCCUAUCAGCUAGUUGGUGGGGUAACGGCCUACCAAGGCAAUGACGGGUAGCUGGUCUGAGAGGAUGGCCAGCCACAUUGGGACUGAGAUACGGCCCAGACUCCUACGGGAGGCAGCAGUGGGGAAUAUUGCGCAAUGGCCGAAAGGCUGACGCAGCGACGCCGCGUGGGGGAUGAAGCAUUUCGGUGUGUAAACCCCUGUUGCCCGGGACGAACAAGCGAUUUUGAUCGCUCUGACGGUACCGGGUGAGGAAGCACCGGCUAACUCCGUGCCAGCAGCCGCGGUAAUACGGAGGGUGCGAGCGUUGUCCGGAAUCACUGGGCGUAAAGGGCGCGUAGGCGGUCUGCUAAGCGUGUGGUGAAAGCUCGGGGCUCAACCCCGAGUCUGCCAUGCGAACUGGUGGACUAGAGCACUGUAGAGGCAGGUGGAAUUCCGGGUGUAGCGGUGGAAUGCGUAGAGAUCCGGAAGAACACCAGUGGCGAAGGCGGCCUGCUGGGCAGUAGCUGACGCUGAGGCGCGAUAGCGUGGGGAGCAAACAGG
This 736-nucleotide ribosomal RNA is filed under the name uncultured Gemmatimonas sp. RNAcentral's name for it is "bacterial SSU rRNA". It matches the Rfam family "Bacterial small subunit ribosomal RNA", at positions 28 to 776 of the family's 1533-position model. Lineage: Bacteria; Pseudomonadati; Gemmatimonadota; Gemmatimonadia; Gemmatimonadales; Gemmatimonadaceae. The record is from RNAcentral.